GAUGAACGCUGGCGGCGUGCUUAACACAUGCAAGUCGAACGGAAAGGCUCCUGCUUGCAGGGGUACUCGAGUGGCGAACGGGUGAGUAACACGUGGGUGAUCUGCCCUGCACUUCGGGAUAAGCCUGGGAAACUGGGUCCAAUACCGGAUAGGACGAUGGUUUGGAUGCCAUUGUGGAAAGUUUUUUCGGUGUGGGAUGAGCUCGCGGCCUAUCAGCUUGUUGGUGGGGUAAUGGCCUACCAAGGCGUCGACGGGUAGCCGGCCUGAGAGGGUGUACGGCCACAUUGGGACUGAGAUACGGCCCAGACUCCUACGGGAGGCAGCAGUGGGGAAUAUUGCACAAUGGGCGCAAGCCUGAUGCAGCGACGCCGCGUGGGGGAUGACGGCCUUCGGGUUGUAAACUCCUUUCGCUAGGGACGAAGCGCAAGUGACGGUACCUGGAGAAGAAGCACCGGCUAACUACGUG
RNAcentral lists this ribosomal RNA (466 nucleotides) under uncultured bacterium. RNAcentral describes it as "partial 16S ribosomal RNA". It matches the Rfam family "Bacterial small subunit ribosomal RNA", at positions 28 to 507 of the family's 1533-position model. The record is from RNAcentral.